Carassius gibelio (silver crucian carp) is the source of this 910-nucleotide long non-coding RNA. RefSeq lists it as uncharacterized. NCBI's taxonomy places the organism in Eukaryota, Metazoa, Chordata, Actinopteri, Cypriniformes, Cyprinidae. The record is from RefSeq and is a predicted model, not a curated record. The transcript has 4 exons.
CAACCCAUUCUCACUCCAAAGGCGUCAAAAACCGAAGCAUGGUCAAGCGCCCCUAGCGUCACUUUUAUGACGCCAAAUGUGCCUCUCGGCGUCGACUAUCGAAGCACUACGACCUUCAUUGCUUUCAGUGGGAAACUUUUGGCGUCAGAAUUCGACACGAGGACAUGAGAUGUUUAUCGCUAUGAAAUCACGUUCAAGAAGUCUCAUUCAGCACACAUCGCGCGAUACUUGCUAUCAGUUCCACAGUUUGGCUGAAAAGACGUAAAGGCAGUCAGCCCAGUGGUGUUUCUGGAGAGGGAUUCCUUCAGAAAUGGAGAAGACAGAAAGCUGCGGAGGCAGAUAUUUGCAGCAUGUUCGAGUGAGCAUGAUGACCACAAGUGUGUGUCGAACUUUUCAUGACCUGAUGACUGUGUUUCCCAAUCCUGAUCCUGGAGAACCCCAGCACUGCACGGUUUUGGCGUCUCUCUUAUCUGCCUUGGAGUCUUCACUGAUGAGCUGAUGAGUUGAAUCAGGAUUGUUUGAGGAUAACACUGCAGUUCUCCAUCAUGCACAAGGACUCACCUCGUUAACUCUUUAUCCCCCACACACACAGAUAUGGUCCCUGGAUCAGUGAUUAGACUUUGCAGUGGUUUGAUUUUUGCAGAAGAUGUAACUUUGUUUUAUUUAUAAGCUCAUAAUGAAUACAUUACAGAACCAGUGAUGAAAACAAUAGUUAAAAAUAGUAUUUUUCGUAUUGAUAAAGCAUUUUGUUCUCUUUUUCAAGCUUCAUACAGUGAACUUUUUAGACUUUAAUUAAGAGUUUUAGUAAAGGAGAUAUUCAUACACAGUCAUCCCCUAGCUCCAGUCAUGAAGUGAAUUCAUGAUGUUAUUGUCAAAGCUAGCAGGUGUUUGUUUUCCUGAACACUUUCUC